CAAUAGCGUAUAUUUAAGUUGUUGCAGUUAAAAAGCUCGUAGUUGGAUUUCGGAUGGGACUUGCCGGUCCGUCGUUUCGAUGUGCACUGGCCAGUCCUAUCUUGUUGUCGGGGACUAGCUCCUGGGCUUCACUGUCCGGGACUAGGAGCUGACGAGGUUACUUUGAGUAAAUUAGAGUGUUCAAAGCAAGCCUACGCUCUGAAUACAUUAGCAUGGAAUAACACGAUAGGACUCUGGCUUAUCUUGUUGGUCUGUGAGACCAGAGUAAUGAUUAAGAGGGACAGUCGGGGGCAUUCGUAUUUCAUUGUCAGAGGUGAAAUUCUUGGAUUUAUGAAAGACGAACUUCUGCGAAAGCAUUUGUCAAGGAUGUCUUCUUUAA
Molecule: ribosomal RNA, 379 nt
Filed under: uncultured eukaryote
Lineage: Eukaryota
Description: partial 18S ribosomal RNA
Rfam family: Eukaryotic small subunit ribosomal RNA
Source: RNAcentral